CCUACGGGAGGCAGCAGUGGGGAAUAUUGGGCAAUGGGCGCAAGCCUGACCCAGCAACGCCGCGUGAAGGAAGAAGGCUUUCGGGUUGUAAACUUCUUUUAUGAGGGACGAAAGAAAUGACGGUACCUGAUGAAUAAGCCACGGCUAACUACGUGCCAGCAGCCGCGGUAAUACGUAGGUGGCAAGCGUUAUCCGGAUUUACUGGGUGUAAAGGGCGUGUAGGCGGGACUGCAAGUCAGAUGUGAAAAUUAUGGGCUCAACCCAUAACCUGCAUUUGAAACUGUAGUUCUUGAGUGAUGGAGAGGCAGACGGAAUUCCGAGUGUAGCGGUGAAAUGCGUAGAUAUACGGAGGAACACCAGUGGCGAAGGCGGCCUGCUGGACAUUAACUGACGCUGAGGCGCGAAAGCGUGGGGAGCAAACAGGAUUAGAUACCCGAGUAGUC
RNAcentral lists this ribosomal RNA (443 nucleotides) under uncultured bacterium. RNAcentral describes it as "partial 16S ribosomal RNA". It matches the Rfam family "Bacterial small subunit ribosomal RNA", at positions 338 to 795 of the family's 1533-position model. The record is from RNAcentral.